UAAUACGUAGGGCGCAAGCGUUGUCCGGAAUUAUUGGGCGUAAAGAGCUCGUAGGCGGUUUGUCGCGUCUGGUGUGAAAACUCAAGGCUCAACCUUGAGCUUGCAUCGGGUACGGGCAGACUAGAGUGCGGUAGGGGUGACUGGAAUUCCUGGUGUAGCGGUGGAAUGCGCAGAUAUCAGGAGGAACACCGAUGGCGAAGGCAGGUCACUGGGCCGCAACUGACGCUGAGGAGCGAAAGCAUGGGGAGCGAACAGGAUUAGAUACCCUGGUAGUCCAUGCCGUAAACGUUGGGCACUAGGUGUGGGGCUCAUUCCACGAGUUCCGUGCCGCAGCAAACGCAUUAAGUGCCCCGCCUGGGGAGUACGGCCGCAAGGCUAAAACUUAAAGGAAUUGACGG
Molecule: ribosomal RNA, 398 nt
Filed under: uncultured bacterium
Lineage: Bacteria
Description: bacterial SSU rRNA
Rfam family: Bacterial small subunit ribosomal RNA
Source: RNAcentral